AAAACUGGGCUGGCGAUGUAGUUGCCUGUGGCUUAACUACUACUAUUAGUGCUUUUUAGGCCCAAACCCCUAAUGUGUUUUCUCCAUUCCUUUCUUUCAUCUGCUUUCAGCAAGGGAAGCCGUAUGUCUUUGACCGAGUGCUGCCGCCCAACACAACCCAGGAGCAGGUCUACAAUGCCUGUGCAAAGCAGAUUGUCAAAGGUAAGUGCCCCUUUAUUUCCUCCUGGGAUGUCACUAAUGAAAACAUUAAGUGACAUUCGCAGCCUAGCAAUCAGUGUGCCUCCACUGUAAGCAGAGUCCUGUUAAUUGGAAACACUAAAUUGCUGUCUUGGCUCUAGCCCUGCCUUGCUGUGACUGACCUCAGUCACGUUAUUCAACCUCUGCAUUAGUUUUCUCUGUUACUGUUGCCGCCUCUUUGGUGGGCUUAUUCUGUUCCCUAAGAGCUCACAAAGCAAGGUAAGCGGUGUCACAGAAUUUCUGUCGUGGUCUCUGGGGACUACAGGGAGAGUGUUCCUUUCAUGUUUGAGGGAGGAAAUGGAUUGCUCCAUGCUUUAGCCGUACAUGUUUGGCUGGUUUCUUUUACUAAUAACUCCGAGAAUGUAGUCUUACAGGUGAAAGGUUGCUCUUGCCACCAAGGGGUAUUCUACAGUGUCAUGAAGUCCCCCCUUUGAGCUAGCUGUGCAGCCAUGUCUGCUCUACAGCAGUCCUUAAUUUCAAUUUUCACCAUCCUACCACUUUCAGCCAUCCUACCACAUCCCGACAUGUGUUCCUCCAAACAGGUAGCUUCAAGCUUGCCUUUGUGCCGCAGAGAUCAGUUCUUUUCACUGGGACUGGCCUUGGCCCUGGAGGAUUUGUGUCAAAAUAACAGCAGGGCGAAGAAGCAAUUUGUACAUUGCUCUCUCUUGCCAUUUCAAAGCAGGAGCAGGUUGGAGCAUGCUGUGGCAGGCCCUGCCAUCUGGACAAGGCUGAGGGGCAUCUCCCGCGUGCCUGCUUUUCUCCAUCAAAUCCUUGCCUUCAGAUGGGAAUGCCACGGCAGCCAUGUGCUCAAAGGUCUUGAUGCUGCCACCCAUACAGGCAGCCAUGGGUUUAAAAGACAGAAGCAUCUUGCAGCUUUCGAUCUGCUGUUCUCAGGGAGCCGAGCUGACUAACCUAUUUGAAAUUCAUGAGAUUCAGGCCUGGUACAUCUGCUAGAUGAAUUCUGACCCUGGACACCUGUGUGGGAGACUCACGUCAGCAGGCAAUGUUCCCUGCUAAGGUGCAUGCUUAUUCACACUCUUGUUACAGAUAUCAAUUAAUUCUGAAGGUCUUCUCUGCGAGAUUAUUAU
RNAcentral lists this long non-coding RNA (1325 nucleotides) under Mus musculus (house mouse). Its description in RNAcentral is "long non-coding RNA chr2:49671641-49672966". Lineage: Eukaryota; Metazoa; Chordata; Mammalia; Rodentia; Muridae. The record is from RNAcentral.